RNAcentral lists this ribosomal RNA (163 nucleotides) under Blumea riparia. RNAcentral describes it as "5.8S ribosomal RNA". It matches the Rfam family "5.8S ribosomal RNA". Rfam says of the family: 5.8S ribosomal RNA (5.8S rRNA) is a component of the large subunit of the eukaryotic ribosome. RNAcentral also lists the same sequence under 1 other name. Lineage: Eukaryota; Viridiplantae; Streptophyta; Magnoliopsida; Asterales; Asteraceae. The record is from RNAcentral.
AUAACGACUCUCGGCAACGGAUAUCUCGGCUCACGCAUCGAUGAAGAACGUAGCAAAAUGCGAUACUUGGUGUGAAUUGCAGAAUCCCGUGAACCAUCGAGUUUUUGAACGCAAGUUGCGCCCGAAGCCAUUCGGUUGAGGGCACAUCUGCCUGGGCGUCACG